UUUCCCGGUUGAUCCUGCCGGAGGUCACUGCUAUUGGAGUUCGAUUAAGCCAUGCGAGUCAAUAGUUCUUCGUGAACUAGGCGGACUGCUCAGUAACACGUGGGUAAUCUGCCCUCGGGUCAGGGAUAACCCCGGGAAACUGGGAAUAAUACCUGAUAGGUGAAGAUGUCUGGAACGAUACUUCGCCUAAAGCUCCGGCGCCCGAGGAUGAGCCUGCGGCCGAUUAGGUUGUUGGCGGUGUAAAGGACCACCAAGCCCGUGAUCGGUACGGGUGUUGAGAGACAUAGCCCGGAGAUGGGGGCUGAGACACGGCCCCAGGCCCUACGGGGCGCAGCAGGCGCGAAAACUACGCAAUGCGCGAAAGCGUGACGUGGGAACUCCAAGUGCCCUGCCUUCGGGUAGGGCUUUUGUUUAGUGUAAGAAGCUAAAUGAAUAAGUGCUGGGUAAGACCGGUGCCAGCCGCCGCGGUAACACCGGCAGCGCGAGUGGUGACCGCUUUUAUUGGGCCUAAAGCGUUCGUAGCCGGUUUGGUAAGUCUUUGGGUAAAUCCUCAGGCUCAACCUGAGGAAUUCCGAAGAUACUGCCAGACUUGGAGUUGAGAGAGGUCAGAGGUACCUCCGGGGUAGGGGUGAAAUCCUAUAAUCCUGGGGGGACCACCAGUGGCGAAGGCGUCUGACUAGAGCAAGCUCGACGGUGAGGGACGAAAGCCAGGGGCGCGAACGGGAUUAGAUACCCCGGUAGUCCUGGCUGUAAACGCUGCGCGCUAGGUGUUGCAUGCUCUACGAGGGCGUGCAGUGCCGAAGAGAAGUUGAUAAGCGUGCCGCCUGGGAAGUAUUACCGCAAGGUAGAAACUUAAAGGAAUUGGCGGGGGAGCACCACAAGGGGUGGAGUCUGCGGUUCAAUUGGAUUCAACGCCGGGA
This 920-nucleotide ribosomal RNA is filed under the name uncultured archaeon. RNAcentral describes it as "bacterial SSU rRNA". It matches the Rfam family "Archaeal small subunit ribosomal RNA", at positions 1 to 923 of the family's 1478-position model. The record is from RNAcentral.